Molecule: ribosomal RNA, 253 nt
Filed under: uncultured bacterium
Lineage: Bacteria
Description: partial 16S ribosomal RNA
Rfam family: Bacterial small subunit ribosomal RNA
Source: RNAcentral
UACGUAGGGGGCAAGCGUUGUCCGGAAUUACUGGGCGUAAAGAGUUCGUAGGCGGUUUGUCGCGUCGUUCGUGAAAACUUGGGGCUUAACUCCAAGCGUGCGGGCGAUACGGGCAGACUUGAGUACUACAGGGGAGACUGGAAUUCCUGGUGUAGCGGUGAAAUGCGCAGAUAUCAGGAGGAACACCGGUGGCGAAGGCGGGUCUCUGGGUAGUAACUGACGCUGAGGAACGAAAGCGUGGGUAGCGAACAGG